RNAcentral lists this ribosomal RNA (472 nucleotides) under uncultured bacterium. RNAcentral describes it as "partial 16S ribosomal RNA". It matches the Rfam family "Bacterial small subunit ribosomal RNA", at positions 28 to 507 of the family's 1533-position model. The record is from RNAcentral.
GACGAACGCUGGCGGCGUGCUUAACACAUGCCAGUCGAACGAUGAAGCUUGGUGCUUGCACUGGGUGGAUGAGUGGCGAACGGGUGAGUAAUACGUGAGUAACCUGCCCUUGACUCUGGGAUAAGCCUGGGAAACUGGGUCUAAUACUGGAUAUGACAUGCCACUGCAUGGUGGUGUGUGGAAAGGGUUUUACUGGUUUUGGAUGGGCUCACGGCCUAUCAGCUUGUUGGUGGGGUAAUGGCCUACCAAGGCGACGACGGGUAGCCGGCCUGAGAGGGUGACCGGCCACACUGGGACUGAGACACGGCCCAGACUCCUACGGGAGGCAGCAGUGGGGAAUAUUGCACAAUGGGCGGAAGCCUGAUGCAGCGACGCCGCGUGAGGGAUGACGGCCUUCGGGUUGUAAACCUCUUUCAGCACGGAAGAAGCGAGAGUGACGGUACGUGCAGAAGAAGCGCCGGCUAACUACGUG